CACGUGCGUCCAACGGCACCAUCCAGAAAACGAACAAAUGUGAGAGUCACUUCUAAACUGGAAUUGACUUGAAAAUAUGUCUCAGGAGACCUGUUACCAAGAACCUUUGAGUGGGGAUGCGAGCCACCAUAUAUCAGAUCU
This is a long non-coding RNA of Tupaia belangeri chinensis (Chinese tree shrew), 141 nucleotides long. RefSeq lists it as uncharacterized. The transcript has 3 exons. NCBI's taxonomy places the organism in Eukaryota, Metazoa, Chordata, Mammalia, Scandentia, Tupaiidae. The record is from RefSeq and is a predicted model, not a curated record.